GCCCUCUUAGCUCAGUUGGUAGAGCAACGCACUUGUAAUGCGUAGGUCGUCAGUUCGAAUCCGACAGAGGGCA
This 73-nucleotide transfer RNA is filed under the name Methylophilales bacterium HTCC2181. It matches the Rfam family "tRNA". From Rfam's summary of the family: Transfer RNA (tRNA) molecules are approximately 80 nucleotides in length. Their secondary structure includes four short double-helical elements and three loops (D, anti-codon, and T loops). Further hydrogen bonds mediate the characteristic L-shaped molecular structure. tRNAs have two regions of fundamental functional importance: the anti-codon, which is responsible for specific mRNA codon recognition, and the 3' end, to which the tRNAs corresponding amino acid is attached (by aminoacyl-tRNA synthetases). tRNAs cope with the degeneracy of the genetic code in two manners: having more than one tRNA (with a specific anti-codon) for a particular amino acid; and 'wobble' base-pairing, i.e. permitting non-standard base-pairing at the 3rd anti-codon position. The record is from Rfam by way of RNAcentral. RNAcentral also lists the same sequence under 1 other name. Lineage: Bacteria; Pseudomonadati; Pseudomonadota; Betaproteobacteria; Nitrosomonadales.